Molecule: ribosomal RNA, 460 nt
Filed under: uncultured bacterium
Lineage: Bacteria
Description: partial 16S ribosomal RNA
Rfam family: Bacterial small subunit ribosomal RNA
Source: RNAcentral
CCUACGGGCGGCAGCAGUGAGGAAUAUUGGUCAAUGGACGAGAGUCUGAACCAGCCAAGUAGCGUGAAGGAUGACUGCCCUAUGGGUUGUAAACUUCUUUUAUAUGGGAAUAAAAUGUUCCACGUGUGGGAUUUUGUAUGUACCAUAUGAAUAAGGAUCGGCUAACUCCGUGCCAGCAGCCGCGGUAAUACGGAGGAUCCGAGCGUUAUCCGGAUUUAUUGGGUUUAAAGGGAGCGUAGGUGGAUUGUUAAGUCAGUUGUGAAAGUUUGCGGCUCAACCGUAACAUUGCAGUUGAAACUGGCAGUCUUGAGUACAGUAGAGGUGGGCGGAAUUCGUGGUGUAGCGGUGAAAUGCUUAGAUAUCACGAAGAACUCCGAUUGCGAAGGCAGUUCACUGGACUGCAACUGACACUGAGGCUCGAAAGUGUGGGUAUCAAACAGGAUUAGAUACCCCAGUAGUC